GACAGAGGGUGCAAACGUUGUUCGGAAUUACUGGGCGUAAAGCGCGUGUAGGCUGCUCAGAAAGUCGGAUGUGAAAGCCCUGGGCUUAACCUAGGAAGUGCAUUCGAAACUUCUGAGCUUGAGUUCUGGAGAGGAAGGCGGAAUUCCAGGUGUAGCGGUGAAAUGCGUAGAUAUCUGGAGGAACACCGGUGGCGAAGGCGGCAUCCUGGACCGAGAUUGACGCUGAGGCGCGAAAGCUAGGGGAGCAAACGGG
Molecule: ribosomal RNA, 253 nt
Filed under: uncultured bacterium
Lineage: Bacteria
Description: partial 16S ribosomal RNA
Rfam family: Bacterial small subunit ribosomal RNA
Source: RNAcentral